CAAUAGCGUAUAUUAAAGUUGUUGCGGUUAAAAAGCUCGUAGUUGGAUUUCUGCUGAGAACGACCGGUCCGCCCUCUGGGUGUGUAUCUGGCUCUUUCUUGGCAUCUUCUUGGUGAACGUUGCUGCACUUGACUGUGUGGAGCGCUACCCAGGACUUUUACUUUGAGGAAAUUAGAGUGUUUCAAGCAGGCAUACGCCUUGAAUACAUUAGCAUGGAAUAAUAAGAUAGGACCUCGGUUCUAUUUUGUUGGUUUCUAGAGCUGAGGUAAUGAUUAAUAGGGAUAGUUGGGGGCAUUCGUAUUUAACUGUCAGGGGUGAAAUUCUUGGAUUUGUUAAAGACGGACUACUGCGAAAGCAUUUGCCAAGGAUGUUUNCAUUGA
RNAcentral lists this ribosomal RNA (380 nucleotides) under uncultured eukaryote. RNAcentral's name for it is "partial 18S ribosomal RNA". It matches the Rfam family "Eukaryotic small subunit ribosomal RNA", at positions 592 to 976 of the family's 1831-position model. The record is from RNAcentral.